UGCCUUAGUAACGGCGAGUGAAGCGGCAAAAGCUCAAAUUUGAAAUCGAACCCCCGUUCGAGUUGUAAUUUGUAGAAGUAACUUUUGUGUUUAGACCUGGCGGAAGUUCCUUGGAACAGGACGCCGUAGAGGGUGAGAGCCCCGUUCUACCAGAGUCGAUGCCUUGUAAAGUGCUUUCAAAGAGUCGAGUUGUUUGGGAAUGCAGCUCUAAGUGGGUGGUAAAUUCCAUCUAAAGCUAAAUAUUGGCGAGAGACCGAUAGCGAACAAGUACAGUGAUGGAAAGAUGAAAAGAACUUUGAAAAGAGAGUGAAAAAGUACGUGAAAUUGCUGAAAGGGAAGGGCUUGAAAUCAGACUUGGCUUGUAGUGAUCAUCCGUCCUUUGGGGCGGUGCACUCGCUGCUUGCUAGGCCAGCAUGGGUUUGGGGGGAGUCAUAAGAGCCUUGGAAUGUGGCUUGGCUCCGAGUGUUAUAGCCCUGGUUGAUAGCUCCACCCCGGAUCGAGGACUGCUGUCUUAUAGGAUGCUGGCGUAAUGAUUUUAAGCCGC
This 544-nucleotide ribosomal RNA is filed under the name Groenewaldozyma salmanticensis. Its description in RNAcentral is "eukaryotic LSU rRNA". It matches the Rfam family "Eukaryotic large subunit ribosomal RNA", at positions 76 to 648 of the family's 3401-position model. Lineage: Eukaryota; Fungi; Ascomycota; Dipodascomycetes; Dipodascales; Trichomonascaceae. The record is from RNAcentral.